ACUCAAAUGAAUUGACGGGGACCCGCACAAGCGGCGGAGCAUGCGGAUUAAUUCGAUGCAACGCGAAGAACCUUACCAAGGCUUGACAUACACGAGAACACUCUAGAAAUAGGGGACUCUUUGGACACUCGUGAACAGGUGGUGCAUGGUUGUCGUCAGCUCGUGUCGUGAGAUGUUGGGUUAAGUCCCGCAACGAGCGCAACCCUCGUUCUAUGUUGCCAGCACGUAAUGGUGGGAACUCAUGGGAUACUGCCGGGGUCAACUCGGAGGAAGGUGGGGAUGACGUCAAAUCAUCAUGCCCCUUAUGUCUUGGGCUUCACGCAUGCUACAAUGGCCGGUACAAAGGGCUGCAAUACCGUGAGGUGGAGCGAAUCCCAAAAAGCCGGUCCCAGUUCGGAUUGAGGUCUGCAACUCGACCUCAUGAAGUCGGAGUCGCUAGUAAUCGCAGAUCAGCAACGCUGCGGUGAAUACGUUCCCGGGUCUUGUACACACCGCCCGU
RNAcentral lists this ribosomal RNA (499 nucleotides) under uncultured bacterium. Its description in RNAcentral is "partial 16S ribosomal RNA". It matches the Rfam family "Bacterial small subunit ribosomal RNA", at positions 899 to 1397 of the family's 1533-position model. The record is from RNAcentral.